RNAcentral lists this ribosomal RNA (273 nucleotides) under uncultured bacterium. RNAcentral's name for it is "partial 16S ribosomal RNA". It matches the Rfam family "Archaeal small subunit ribosomal RNA", at positions 473 to 747 of the family's 1478-position model. The record is from RNAcentral.
AAACCAGCACCUCAAGUGGUCAGGAGGAUUAUUGGGCCUAAAGCAUCCGUAGCCUGUUCUAUAAGUUUCCGGUUAAAUCCACUAGCUCAACUAGUGGGCUGCCGAAAAUACUGUAGAACUAGGGAGUGGGAGAGGUAGACGGUAUUCGGUAGGAAGGGGUAAAAUCCUUUGAUCUAUUGAGGACCACCUGUGGCGAAGGCGGUCUACCAGAACACGUUCGACGGUGAGGGAUGAAAGCUGGGGGAGCCAACCAGAUUAGAAACCCGGUAGUCC